Long non-coding RNA from Pongo pygmaeus (Bornean orangutan), 4542 nucleotides. RefSeq lists it as uncharacterized. The transcript has 3 exons. The record is from RefSeq and is a predicted model, not a curated record. NCBI's taxonomy places the organism in Eukaryota, Metazoa, Chordata, Mammalia, Primates, Hominidae.
CACCAUGUGAAGAAGGAUGUAUUUGCUUCCCCUUCCACCAGGAUUGUUAAGUUUCCUGAGGUCGCCCCAGCCAUGGUGAACUCUGCCCUCUCAGGUCUUCAAUCUGCCAAGUGAAGUUGCUCUUUUCCCUGGAAAGUUGGUUUAUCAGAGCCUCCUUCUCUUCAAGCCUCCGUAGGAACUCGCCUACAGAAAGAUUUCACAAAACAGCCCAUGAGGCCUUUGUCUGUACAAAGAAAGUAUGCUAUGGAAAUGGAAGAACUGGGAGACAAAGAAGAGAUUACACCAAUGAAAUUUUGAGAAAACAGUGAGGUCUGGUGAGAUGAUGAAAGCUGAUGGUGAGCCUAAUAGUUUUCAAUGUUAACCUAAUUGUUAUGAUAGAGCAAUAGCCAAAGGACCAGGAGUGUUUCAAAGGUGAUGCCAAGUUUAGUCGUCUGGAAAACUUCUGUAUCAGCCAAAACCUAGGCCAUCUCUACCUGGAACCUAUGCUCUGUUUAAGAUUGCUUCCUUCAUGCUAUGUUGCAGGACUUUUCCUUAGUUCAGCUAAAGAUGGGGUUCUUUGUCCCUGGCCACAAAAAUUCAGGCUCACAGACAAUUUGAAUGGUGAGUAAGACAGGGUUUGAUUGGGUGAAAAGGAAGAAAAGGGGGAAACAGGGACUCUCACAAGGCCAAAGUCCCUGCUUGAGCUCUUGCCACCCGCAGCUUGAAUCCCAGGUUCCACACAGGAAGAGGAGGGGCCGGGUUCCAACCCACUGCAAAUGGCGUGAACUUUCCGAGGCUCCACUCCAGUGGGCAGGCUGGUUGGAGAUUCUCCAGGGACCCCCUCCCACCUGGCUGUCUCACUACUAAUGGCUAUUCUCUGAAAGACUACUGAAUUAUGUCUUCUUAUAUCUCCAAUGCAGUGUUAUGUAGUUCCAGUUCACAGAUGUCCUACAGCACACCCAGGCUUGGUAGAAACAGACUUAACAGAGAUUCAAUGGCCAGUUUCUCGAAUGAUGCCAUCAGCCUCACAUAGGUUAGAGCAUUAAUGUUAAAUGCCAGACAUGCUCAAUUGUCCCCACUCUCUACUCCUAACUAGAAGAAAGCUAUAGUAGUGAUCAAUGUGACAGUUUUUAGGUUGUCUGCACAGUUUCUAAUUAUAUGUUGAAUUUGUUUGCUCUCACUUCUGAAAAUGACUUUGACAGUCAAAGUUGGCAUGCUCAUUUUCUUCCUCACGAUAUCUCUCAAAAGUUCAGAUUGCCUCUUUCUACAAAUGAGAAAACUGAGCACCAGAGAGGCUAAAUAACUAGCCCAAAUUCACACAGCUAUUAAAUGUCAGAAUUGGAAUUCAAACUGAAACUGCCUGUGCAGAUGCACACACACACAGAAAAUGUCAAAUAUUAGAUUUCUAAACAUCUGUUGUAUGAAGUGGUGAUAAAGGAAAUAUUAAGGAUUAAUUGACUUGAUGUCCUAGGUGGCCCAAAUUGUCAUGAAUCCUGGGUUCCAGAGGAAAAUGGAUAAAAAUAGGAUGAUUAUGAAAACCAUUUUUAUUUUAUGAUGUCUCCAAUAGUAAAUGACCUGUUAACUGAGCCAGGAGGAACAUAUCCAGGUGUGAGAAAUGGCAUCUGUUUAGGGCCCUGAAUAUGUUGUGCUAUGCACCUGUGUGCUUAGGGUGAAAAAGCACAGAUCUCUACAAGACAACUUAGUCAAUGGUGCGUGGAAAUGGUAAGAAAAAGAGCCAAAAACUUCCCAGUUUUUCAAAAGAGGUCUCCAUGUGGUGAAGGCCAGCUGGGCUGUGUGUAUCUGUAGAGUGGGCAGCCCACUUGGACAGAUAGAAAAGGCACUUGCCCUUAGGCAUAGCUUCACAUGGUAGGUAUCCACAUAGGCACUGCUAACCACUGGUAUAGUGUUUCCAUGUAUAAAGUAUUUUCAUAAACAGGAUCUGCAAAAAGACAAUUAGAUUGUUUAUCUAACAGUGGCCUAUACAGGGAUAUAGCAUGCAAAAGAGUUGUACCCUCAAAAGAAUUUUUACUUUAAGCAUAAGGAUAAGCGGUAUGUUUUGAUACCAGGGAUGAGAAGGUUAAUAGAAUAAGGCACAUUUAUCUUAUAGUUGAUUCUUAAAAUGAUGCAUAAAAAUGCUGCCUCCCACAAAUGCAGGGACCAAUGGGAAUUCAAAAUAAUCAAGAUAAUUGUGAAAUUUCCUAUAACUUCUAAAUUGCCCUGAGCCUCUUUGUCAGCAUAAUAUGCUUUUGAAAAUGCUUCAGUCUCCACUGUACCACUGAGCAUUGGCAUUCUUGCCAUUAUAAUUCAGAAAAUGAUAAAGUAAACAAUUCAAGGAACAGUUUAGCCUAAUGUAUAUGCCUAUGAGAGUUAAGAGAAACAAUUUAUCUUGCCAACAAAUAUUUAAAGCAGCAACAGGACAUGCUCACCAACAGACAUACACAGGAUUUGGAAUUGAAGUUCAUCUCUUCCAUAGAAUUGUGUGACCUUGGACAAGUCACUGAAUCUAUGAACUCCAAGAGGUAUAUGUAAAAGUUGAUGCUAGUAAUUGAGUGCAGAGACUCUACAAAGCACUGUACUAAACAUGAAAAAUGAGACCUAGUUUCUGCUUUCAAUGUUAGCAAAGUUAAAAGACUAGAUAAUGCAUAAGUAUAAAGAGGGACCCCAAAAGUGCUACAGGAACUCAAAAACAGGUAAGUCUUUAAUGCAGGAGGUUGAACUUGAGCAUUCCAAAGAGAAUAAUUAGUUUGGAAAAGGCAGAUUGGUGUAAAAAUGAAUAUUUGGUUAAAGGCAAGCUGAAAUGGAAGGUCCAUGAAACAAAGCAAUGGGAUCUAAAACUGGCAAGACUGGUUGACUCUGAUCAAAGGUUACAAGGUACCUCAAAAGCAGAAGUUUGGAGUUCAUUUUUAAGCAGGGACAUAAUUCAAUAAAUCUGUGCUUUAUAAAUAUUCUAAAUACUUUACAAAUAUUAAUUUUGGCAUAUAAAUAUAGGAUGGUUUGAAAAAAGGAAGACUAGAAGCAAAAAAGAUAAUUUAGGAAACCACUGCAGUAAUCUACUUAAAAGUAGAGAGACCUACAUGGGAAUGGGAAUGGAAAAUUAUGAGAUGGUAAACACUGACCUGCUGCAAUAAUUGACUGAAAAGCAAAUAGGGAGGGAAGAAGUGGUUGAGACUUAGAACCUGAGUUAUAAAAAGAAAUCAGGUGCCAGUGACAGAGAUGUUCAGAGGAAGUGCCAGCUUCAGGAGAAAUAAAGACACAUGGCAGGGAUUAAAGGAGUAAGGAGGUAGUGAGAUACACACCUACCGCUAGAAAAAGCCUAUAUUCCCAUGAAUGGAACAUUAAGAAUCAUUCUGAUGAGGGCUCACAAGAAGAGGAGAGCUAUAGAGAGAGAAUUAAUCUUCUUAGAGAUAGUUGGAUGACUGUGAUUACAAUGCUGGUAGUAACACGGACAGUAAAGGCAAUUCUGCUGAGGUCUUAAAUGGAAAUGGGGAAUAUCCUAUUGGAAACUGGAAGGCAGACCAUCCUUAUUACAAAAUGUCAAGGAACUUGGCUGAACUAUGCCCUAGUCCCUUGUGGAAGGCAGAAUUUAAGAGUCAUAAACUAGGAUAUUUGGUGGAAGAAAUCCUUAAAGAAAGUGUUCAGGGCUCCAUGGCUUCUCUUGAUUGCUUAAAACAAAGUAUGAAGAGAGAGAAAUAAAGAUGAAAUGUAUAAUCAAAGAGAAGCAGAAUUGAAAGAUUUAGAAAAUUCUCAGCCUGGCCAGAUUGUGAAGAAUAAAAAAGUAUUUUCAGAAAAAAAAAAAACAAAACCCUGAGGCUGUAGACAACCAAACAUUUGAUAAGGAAAUUAGUAGGGAUAGAAAGAAGACAGGUGCUAUUCAUCAGGACAAGGACAAUGGAAGAAUGACCCUGAAGGCAUUUCUGAGACCUUUGUGGCUGCCCCACCCACAAAGGCCCAGAAGGCCAGGGCCUUGAUGGAAACAUGAUUUCAAGAGAGGAUUCCCGUGAGACCUCAGAGCUUGCUGCCCAGGGCUGCCUCAAGUCUUUGCUCCCCACAUGCCAGUUCAGUGCUCCUCUGCUACUCAGGCAGGCCCAGGUUCAGCUCAGGUCACCACUCUGGAAGGCACAUGCUGUAAACCAUAGCAGCAUCCAUACAGUGCUAACUCUGUAGGAGAUAUGGAAGCAUAGCUCCUCCACCUAGAUUUCAAAGGAUAUUUUGGAGAGCCUUGGGGUUCAGGCAGAGAAUUGCCAUGGAAGCAGGACCACUGCAGAGAGCCCCCACUAUGGCAGUGGUGGUACUGUGAGGGCACAGCUGCCCCCAACACCCCAGACUUGUAGAGCCACUAGCAUGCAACACUAACCUGGGAGAGCCACAAGCACCCAACUUCAAUUCCUGAGAGCUCCUGCCAGGGGGGCAGUGCUACGUGGGGGCCUGGGGACCCAAACUCCACCCCAGUAUGUCCAGAAGGUCAGACAUGGAAUCAAAAAGAUUAUUCCCCACUUUCAAGAUUUAAUGUUGUUUGCUUUGUUUUGUGUUGGGCUUUUCCCUUUGUCACCUCUUUUUUCUUUC